GAUGAACGCUAGCGGCAGGCUUAAUACAUGCAAGUCGAGGGGCAGCACGGUUAGCAAUAACUGGUGGCGACCGGCGCACGGGUGCGUAACACGUAUACAAUCUACCUUAAACAGGGGGAUAGCCUUUCGAAAGAGAGAUUAAUACCCCGUAAUAAAUUGAACGGCAUCGUUUGAUUUUGAAAGCUCCGGCGGUUUGAGAUGAGUAUGCGUCUGAUUAGCUAGUUGGUGAGGUAACGGCUCACCAAGGCGACGAUCAGUAGGGGAUCUGAGAGGACUAACCCCCACACUGGUACUGAGACACGGACCAGACUCCUACGGGAGGCAGCAGUAAGGAAUAUUGGUCAAUGGAGGCAACUCUGAACCAGCCAUGCCGCGUGCAGGAUGACGGCCCUAUGGGUUGUAAACUGCUUUUAUACAAGAGAAAACCCUGGUACGUGU
RNAcentral lists this ribosomal RNA (438 nucleotides) under uncultured bacterium. Its description in RNAcentral is "bacterial SSU rRNA". It matches the Rfam family "Bacterial small subunit ribosomal RNA", at positions 28 to 463 of the family's 1533-position model. The record is from RNAcentral.